UACGUAGGGUGCAAGCGUUGUCCGGAAUUAUUGGGCGUAAAGAGCUCGUAGGCGGUUUGUCGCGUCUGCUGUGAAAACCCGAGGCUCAACCUCGGGCCUGCAGUGGGUACGGGCAGACUAGAGUGCGGUAGGGGAGAUUGGAAUUCCUGGUGUAGCGGUGGAAUGCGCAGAUAUCAGGAGGAACACCAAUGGCGAAGGCGGCUUUCUGGUCUGCUCUUGACGCUGAGGCGCGAAAGCUAGGGUAGCAAACGGG
RNAcentral lists this ribosomal RNA (253 nucleotides) under uncultured bacterium. RNAcentral's name for it is "partial 16S ribosomal RNA". It matches the Rfam family "Bacterial small subunit ribosomal RNA", at positions 524 to 776 of the family's 1533-position model. The record is from RNAcentral.